Long non-coding RNA from Diabrotica virgifera virgifera (western corn rootworm), 870 nucleotides. RefSeq lists it as uncharacterized. The record is from RefSeq and is a predicted model, not a curated record. The transcript is spliced from 2 exons. Lineage: Eukaryota; Metazoa; Arthropoda; Insecta; Coleoptera; Chrysomelidae.
GGGGGGGGGGGGGGUCAUGGAUCUUGGUGGUGAGUUAAGGCCGCCUCUCACCAUCAAAUAAUUUGAUCAAACAGUUUGAGCAAACUCCGGAAGUACGUCAAAGUGACGUCACAAUUGCAGUUUUUUUGAAAUUCUAAAAAUCUGUGCUCUCACUAUCAGUCUAGUUUGAUCAAAUUUUUUGUAUUGAGUUGUCUAACUUGUUUGUACUUUAUUUAAAAUUAAAAUUUUUCAUUAUUAUCCACAAUGAACACUCAGGAUGUGACGUCACUAACUGUCACUUUCAGUUUGCUCAAACCAAUUGGAUCAAAUUAUUUGAUGGUGGGACGCGGCCUUAAGGGAAUCUUUGCUCCAGUCCAAAUUGUAAAAUAUUUAUAAAAAUCAAAAUAUUUGAAAAUAAUUCAACAUAUUUUCACAGAUUUUUUAAAUAGGAGCAUAGGACGGAAUUUUAUCAUAAAAGUGGGAAUUUUUAAGGUACGUUGAGGGAAAAAGCUUACUCCUCGACAGCUGGCAACACGGGAAAAGUAACCUGCCAUCCUGUCAAGCGGUGAUAAUUUGUGCUUAGGUAUGUCCUAUCCUAUGUUGAUAUUUUUCUUUGAUUUUUUUACAACAUUUACCGUAUAAUUCUCCGAGACUAUUACUUUAAUUACUAAGCUGAAGCUUGUUUUCUUCAGUUUUUCAUAGACCCACCUGCUUGUGGUGAUUAGGUACAGAUUGGCAUUCUUUUUGCUUUGGUGAUAUUGAGAGCUGAGACAAAACUGAGCAUCGGAAUCUGAAGCUAACGGGUUUAAUGUAAGUUCCAAUAAAUAAUUUUAGACAAUAGAUUGUAUUUUAGUUGAGUGAUUACUGGAUAAAUAGAUAUAUAAAAUGGUA